GAUCAUGGCUCAGGAUGAACGCUAGCUACAGGCUUAACACAUGCAAGUCGAGGGGCAGCGGGAUUGAAGCUUGCUUCAAUUUCCGGCGACCGGCGCACGGGUGAGUAACGUGUAUCCAACCUUCCGUACACUCAGGGAUAGCCUUUCGAAAGAAAGAUUAAUACCUGAUGGUAUCUUAAGCACACAUGUAAUUAAGAUUAAAGAUUUAUCGGUGUACGAUGGGGAGUGCGUUCCAUUAGGUAGG
This 244-nucleotide ribosomal RNA is filed under the name uncultured bacterium. Its description in RNAcentral is "partial 16S ribosomal RNA". It matches the Rfam family "Bacterial small subunit ribosomal RNA", at positions 15 to 249 of the family's 1533-position model. The record is from RNAcentral.